UCAGACGAUGCGUCAUGCAUAUCAAUAAGCGGAGGAAAAGAAACUAACAAGGAUUCCCCUAGUAACGGCGAGUGAAGCGGGAAGAGCUCAAAUUUGAAAUCUUAAAGGGUUUCCCUUUACGAAUUGUAGUUUAAAGAAGUGUUUUUCUGUUGAGGUUUUGGUAAAAGUUCUUUGGAAUAGGACAUCAUAGAGGGUGAGAAUCCCGUAUUUGACCUUUACUUUCAACUUUGUGAUACACUUUCAAAGAGUCGGAUUGUUUGGGAAUGCAGUCCAAAAUGGGUGGUAAAUUUCAUCUAAAGCUAAAUAUUGGCGAGAGACCGAUAGCGAACAAGUACCGUGAGGGAAAGAUGAAAAGAACUUUGAAAAGAGAGUUAAACAGUACGUGAAAUUGUCAAAAGGGAAGCGUUUGACACCAGUGUUGUUUUUCUGAAAAUCAAUUAAGGAACUGUUUUAUGCUAAGUUGUUUAGACUUUAUCAGCUAUCUGUUUAGUUUUGAGCUUUUCUUUAAUGCACUUUUCAGUUAACAAGUCAACAUCAAUUUCUUUUGCUGUAAAAAAAGCUUGAGGAAGGUGGCUUGAGAUUCGUCUUAAGUGUUUAUAGCCUCUUGCCUAUGCAGUCGGAGAGAUUGAGGUCUGCAGCGUAGAUCCUUCGGGGCUAAAUGCAUUUGUGCUAAGUUAUAGCAUUUUCAUAGACAACUUGUUGACUAUGAUUUGUCUUGUAGCUUACUCGCUUAUGUUAUUUUACCUACGCUUAGGAUGUUGAAUCUGUGCGAGACUAC
This 778-nucleotide ribosomal RNA is filed under the name uncultured Neocallimastigales. Its description in RNAcentral is "partial large subunit ribosomal RNA". It matches the Rfam family "Eukaryotic large subunit ribosomal RNA", at positions 18 to 644 of the family's 3401-position model. The record is from RNAcentral. Lineage: Eukaryota; Fungi; Neocallimastigomycota; Neocallimastigomycetes; Neocallimastigales.